RNAcentral lists this ribosomal RNA (358 nucleotides) under Haptophyta environmental samples. Its description in RNAcentral is "SSU rRNA". It matches the Rfam family "Eukaryotic small subunit ribosomal RNA", at positions 595 to 957 of the family's 1831-position model. Lineage: Eukaryota; Haptophyta. The record is from RNAcentral.
CAGCGUAUAUUAAAGUUGUUGCAGUUAAAACGCUCGUAGUCGGAUUUCGGGGCGGUCUGUCCGGUCUGCCGAUGGGUAUGCACUGGUUGGGCCGUCCUUCCUUCCGGAGACCGUGCGUGCUCUUAACUGAGUGCGCUCGGGAGACGGAUCGUUUACUUUGAAAAAAUCAGAGUGUUUCAAGCAGGCAGCUCGCUCUUGCAUGGAUUAGCAUGGGAUAAUGAAAUAGGACUUUGGUGCUAUUUUGUUGGUUUCGAACACCGAAGUAAUGAUUAACAGGGACAGUCAGGGGCACUCGUAUUCCGCCGAGAGAGGUGAAAUUCUCAGACCAGCGGAAGACGAACCACUGCGAAAGCAUUUG